CAUGCACUCAGGGGGGUUCUCUCAGCCUGGAUUGUGAGAGGGCACAGGCCAGGCUGAGGGACCCCACCAGUGCAUG
This is a non-coding RNA of Myotis brandtii (Brandt's bat), 76 nucleotides long. The record is from Rfam. Lineage: Eukaryota; Metazoa; Chordata; Mammalia; Chiroptera; Vespertilionidae.